Molecule: long non-coding RNA, 1188 nt
Organism: Hemicordylus capensis (graceful crag lizard)
Lineage: Eukaryota; Metazoa; Chordata; Lepidosauria; Squamata; Cordylidae
Exons: 4
Source: RefSeq, a predicted model, not a curated record
UCCUGUUUUGUUACUCUCAUGUUCUCUUCCCCCAUCUGAAUUAACCUACACUUCCUGUUGAGGACUAGAAGUGGCUCUUCAUAGGAAACGAAACACGGAACUGAUGAAGGUAGACUUUUCAAGAGCAUUCCCACCCAGAACACCACCACUGAAAAGGUCCUCUCUGCUGCUGCUACUACCUGCCUCACCUCUGAUGACAGGGACACCUAGAGAAUGAAGGGGCUCCAUUGCAAAUCUUAAAGGCCAGGCAGGUUCACAUGGAAGAAGACGGCCGUUAAGAUAUUCUGGUCCGGAGCCCUUUAGGACUUAAAAGUCAAAUGGAUAUUUUGCGCCUCUAGUCUACAUACCCCAAGAUUCGAUCCUUCGCUAUCCUGCUCCCAUCCCACAGCAGGGCAAGCCUUCAUGACUGUUGACCAUGGAUAAAGUCUCCCCAGCUACUGCCCAGGUGACAGCCCUGGAUGCUCUCACAGUUCUGUCACUUGCCUCCGACACACAUGGAUUUCCCAAAUAUGGCUUCUGAUGUUGCAAUGAGGAAGAACAUGACCCAACAGGAUGCUGUAGCAGUUGGCCCAACACUCAUUUUCUGCGUUGAAUGUGGGGGAAGAAGCUGUUACAGCAAUGGCCUACUAAUCGCUUCCACUGUAGUAACUUGAGCAACACUGAUGAUGCAUCAUGCUUGGGGCAAAGGAAGGAACUGCCUGACAAGUCUGUACUGUGGGGCUGAAUUCAUGUGGCAGUUUGCCAUAAUGAGAUGCAUCGUUCUUCAGUGUGUGAAGAUGAGCAUUCCCAGAACCUGCAAAACGAUGCAAACAAAUGUGGGCACAAUACAGAACAUGAUGAUUCGAAAGCCCAGAUGACUGUUCGCCACUCACAGCAUGCAUUUUUCUGGGAAACCUAACCUAUUUAGAGAAACUGUUUAAACAGAACAAUUAAAUUUGGUUCUAGCAAGAAUAUUGGACAAUGGCAACUGAGCCUAAAGUUUCAAUAGCAAUGCACAGGGGUUUUAUGGCAGAGAAGCAGAAUUUCUUUGGCAAAUAUAGAUAUGGAAAGUGUUCCUUGAAGGCUAGAAACAAGGCUUGAAAACCAACCUAAUGUAUCACUGUCUCAGCUACAGUAUUGUCAAACACUAAAUACUAGCACAUGUCAACUAUCAAAUACUGUAGAAUAUCAACUGUCAGAUAUCAAAUA